Long non-coding RNA from Triticum dicoccoides, 3376 nucleotides. RefSeq lists it as uncharacterized. The transcript is spliced from 3 exons. The record is from RefSeq and is a predicted model, not a curated record. Lineage: Eukaryota; Viridiplantae; Streptophyta; Magnoliopsida; Poales; Poaceae.
CCCAUCCCUCGAUUCCUCUCCCUCCUCCUCCUCUUCCGCCGUCGCUGCCACUGGCAACCUUCCCAUAGCCGCUGCCACCACCUACACCCUCCCUCACGGCUGAUGCUCCCACCCCAUCUAUCCUUCCUUUACCUUGUCCUCACCAUCGAUGACCUCCUCCCCUCCCCCUCUCCCCAAGUCGAGCAACAGGUCCGGAUCCAACGCAGGCUCAGAUUCGGCACGCCCACAACCCUGGUUCCUCUUGAGGACACCAUGGACAAGAUGCUCUAGCCUUGGUGAUGCAGCCAUGGACAAGGUUGUUGUGGCAAUGCCUAAAAUAGCCACUGGAUUAGAUUGCUAUUUUAACUAAUCCCUCUUCAGCCUCUCAGUCAUGUUCAAGACUCAUGUGGUCGUCGAUUACAAGGGUGUCUCCAGGGGUUAAAAAAGUUGCGUUCUUACAGAUUUGAGUGAAAGUAAUUCAAAAUAGGUAAGCAAAUAAGCCAUGUUUCUUCUUUGCUGCUCUAGCUGUCAUGUGCCAAUAGUUAUUUCCGUCCCACAUGCUACUGGUUGCCUAUUUGGAUUAUAUUCAUGAUCUAUGUUAUAUUGUACCGAUAAAACCUUGAUGAAAUUUAAGAAGGCAUGUGUUACGGACCCUCCUCUCUUUCUCGACGUCAGACCACUACCUUCAUUUUGUCGAGUAGCUGAUUGUUUCUGUCUCCAUGGCUGUGAUGUCAAGGAUCAUGGAGACCAAGGUCACCACAUUCUGUUGCAGGUAGAAAAAUGACUAAGAUCCUUGUAUUUGGUUAUUUUUUGGACUUACUGGCCUAUAUAUUCAUUUCUACGUUGCUCUGCGGAAGUCAUUGUUGUUUUAAUUACAAUGUGUGUUUUAUUGGAGCAAGAGGCCGGAAGGGAUCUUAUACUACCAUGAGCGUUUUCUUCAAUCAUACCAAAAUGCAUAAAAAAAUAUAGAUGUGGCUGUUGGCAUGAUUUAGAUGAGAAGCUGCGAUCUUUUAGGCAGUGGGCGCUGGAGCAAGUAGUGAAUUGCUUAAGUAAUCAUUUACUUAUUCUGUUUACCAUCCCGACAAAGAUAUGGGACGAGCGCGAGCUUCCCAUACUUAUUUUUAGGGUUAAAGCAUAGCUUUAUUAUGAUAACGGGUUUGGCAGAUCGCCUAAAACAGCUCCGACCACUGGCACCGAUACAUCCAUGUCCCACAACCCGGGUUCAUUCACGUUACACUCAUAGCCCAACUUUAGUAAGAUGAAUCCAGUCUUUUUGUGUAUCAUUAUUAGCUUCGUAUUGCAAUAACCCCCUAAUAAUAUCUUUAAUUCCGAGUAAUCAUAUUAUUAGUCUAUUUUCCUGGAAGGUACAAAGGCUAAGGUAAGGAAUGAUUUUAGUAAGGAGGUUCAACCUGGGAGAGGUGCCCAUAGCUACUCGAGAAAAAGGGGUAAUCACUAUAAAACAAAUGAUAUAUUCCAAUGUUUUAUAGUGGUGACUGUCCUGUUAGGUCUUUUAAUGUUUCAGUAAGGAACUCAACAGUUUUAUUGGGAUAUGAAGUUGCAUAUUCUUUAAUCUACAUGCUUGCUAAACACCAUAUUUUUUAUUUCAUUUUUAGCCCGACAGUAGGCAACCUUACACGAUUUAGACCCCCCUUGAACUUCCACGUUCUAGACCCAACCUGCUGUAAAUAUGAAUGUGAGAUGGCAUCGCAUUGUCACUUUAGUGACAAAUUCCUGAACAUACUUUGAUUACUUGAACUUUGUUGAAAAUAUUUCUUCUGUUAUCAAGUCUCUAACUAGGCUUGUUAACUAUGUUGCUGAAUUUUUCUUAUUUUAUAGUAGACUCACAUGAUUGCCUAAUGCAAAUUAUACAACUUUAAAAACACCUCAAGGAAUUGUUAUUUGUGAUUGUAGUUGCUUCCAAGAUGGGUUGAGGUGAUAACUGAAUUCUAUUCUACUGCAGAUCAGAUUUCACAUUCACUUAUAUUUGCAUAGGACCAAGGAUAGUUCUCUCUAUGUUGUAUAGUACCACUUACAAAUGUAUAUUCUGUGAAAGGAAGCAGAUAAUUUAAAUGGUGCAAUAUAACAACGAGCUUAUUCAUUUUGUUUCUCUUGCGUUGUUCAUCUAUAAUAUUCUAGUGUUACUGAUGACCAUGAAUUGUCCUCUGCAAAGCGUUGUGGACUGCAAUGGAUACUUUUUAUUGAUUAGUAACAUUGUGUUUCAUGGAAUUGAGCAAUAGUUGCAAAUCAUCAUUUCUGAGCAAAGAAUUUGAGUCCAGCUGCAAGCUCUGCUUCGUUUUUAACGUUAUUAGAAUUAUGAGUUUCUUAUUGGCCACUGCAAGUAAUAGUGUUGUUAUUAUAUUUAGCUAUUAGAGAUUUUGUUACUGAAGUUGUAGAUGAACUGUCUGAUAUUAUAUUUGUGGGAAUCUUUUCUGUACCAAAAAUGUGACCUUACAUUACUCUUCAUUGGAAGUGGAUAACCUCCAGUCUGCAAUUAUGAUUCUACAUGCACGUUCAAUCUAUUGGAUGUCUGAGUGUGUGUCGCAAAGCGAUAUUCACUGAUGGAAAUGUAUCUUCGAGGGCAUAGGAUCAACUUGUGCCGGCUUCUCGUGUUGCUAUAGUUUUUGAGAUGUGGAUGGAUCAUACAAUUGUUGUCGAGGUGAGUUAGAUUCACUUUUGCUUCCGAUUUCAAAUCAGACUCGGUUGUCUCCCAUAUCUGAAUGAUACCAAGGGUAGUUUCUUCUCCUAAGGAGGCCUACUAAUGCCACAUCGAGAUUACUCCUACAUUGUUAAUCUAAUAUCCUACCAUUACAUUUUUUUUUGUUUUUGAGUUCCCCAAAUACCAAAAUUAUAAAUUCAUCAGCCAUUUAUUUUCUUCUGAUAAUAUAAUCAAUCUAUACACAUAAAAGGUUUAGCAUUGCCGUGCUCAUAAUAUUUUGAAGUUUUAUGAUUCUAUGUUAAGUUUUAUUCUCAUGUACAUUGCGAUAUGUUUUGCAGUCGCACGGUCUUCCUAGGCAGACUUAGAUGACAUAAGCAUGUUCAUCACACUAAUUGUUCUUGAUAGAGGAGUCUGCAUUUCUUCUUAUAUUGUGCCCUCUUUUGUUUUUUCAUGCUGCCAAGAGUAGUCCUCCGAGCAGCAAGACGGUGAAGAGGGGAUGUUUUCUGCAGCCUCUGUGAAGUCGAGCUAUGUUUCUUUUGGCUGUUCAUUUUUACGCAAGUACUUUGGUGUUGCAAUGUUUGUGUAACCUCAUGGCUAAACCUGCUCAGGAUCUAGUGGUGGUUUCUUCUAUGUUCAUUGUUAAUAUGUGAGUUAUACGUCAUCAAAAAUAUAUCAUUGGAAAGUUCAUUGAAAUAUGCAUCCAAUGGCAUGCUCUUUGUGGCAUAUAACUCACAUUUUGAG